This 472-nucleotide ribosomal RNA is filed under the name uncultured bacterium. RNAcentral's name for it is "bacterial SSU rRNA". It matches the Rfam family "Bacterial small subunit ribosomal RNA", at positions 917 to 1382 of the family's 1533-position model. The record is from RNAcentral.
GGGCUCACACCAGCGGUGGAGCAUGUGGCUUAAUUCGAGGCUACGCGAAGAACCUUAUCCUAGGCUUGACAUGUACGGAUUAGUCUCCUGAAAGGGAGAUGACGCGGUUUCCGUGGAACGUACACAGGUGCUGCAUGGCUGUCGUCAGCUCGUGUCUUGAGAUGUCGGGUUAAGUCCCUUAACGAGCGAAACCCUUGUCCUUAGUUGCCAGCAGUUCGGCUGGGGACUCUAAGGAGACUGCCGGUGUUAAACCGGAGGAAGGUGGGGAUGACGUCAAGUCCUCAUGGCCCUUAUGCCUAGGGCUGCACACGUGCUACAAUGGGAGAUACAAAGGGACGCAAGUUCGCGAGGACAAGCAAAUCCCAGAAAAUCUCCCCCAGUUCGGAUUGCAGGCUGCAACUCGCCUGCAUGAAGCUGGAAUCGCUAGUAAUCGUAGAUCAGCUAUGCUACGGUGAAUGUGUUCCUGAGCCUU